Molecule: ribosomal RNA, 493 nt
Filed under: uncultured bacterium
Lineage: Bacteria
Description: bacterial SSU rRNA
Rfam family: Bacterial small subunit ribosomal RNA
Source: RNAcentral
GGCGGCGUGCCUAACACAUGCAAGUCGUACGAGAAAGCCGGCUUCGGCUGGUGAGUAAAGUGGCGCACGGGUGAGUAACGCGUGGAUAAUCUGCCCUUAAGUGUGGAAUAACGUACCGAAAGGUGCGCUAAUACCGCAUAAUGCCUGGCAACACAAGUUGUCCGGCCAAAGAAGGCCUCUGUUUACAAGCUUUCGCUUCAGGAUGAGUCCGCGUACCAUUAGCUUGUUGGUGGGGUAAUGGCCUACCAAGGCUGCGAUGGUUAGCUGGUCUGAGAGGAUGAUCAGCCACACUGGAACUGAGACACGGUCCAGACUCCUACGGGAGGCAGCAGUGAGGAAUAUUGCGCAAUGGGGGCAACCCUGACGCAGCAACGCCGCGUGAGUGAGGAAGGUUUUCGGACUGUAAAGCUCUGUCGAGCGGGAAGAAGUGUACCAUGGCUAAUAUCCAUGAUAUUUGACGGUACCGCUAGAGGAAGCACCGGCUAACUCCGUG